GUAGGCGGCAAGCGUUGUCCGGAAUUAUUGGGCGUAAAUCGCGCGCAGGCGGUUUUUUAAGUCUGAUGUGAAAGCCCACGGCUCAACCGUGGAGGGUCAUUGGAAACUGGAGAACUUGAGUACAGAAGAGGAAAGCGGAAUUCCACGUGUAGCGGUGAAAUGCGUAGAGAUGUGGAGGAACACCAGUGGCGAAGGCGGCUUUCUGGUCUGUAACUGACGCUGAGGCGCGAAAGCGUGGGGAGCAAACAGGGAUUAGAUACCCUGGUAGUCCACGCCGUAAACGAUGAGUGCUAAGUGUUAGGGGGUUUCCCGCCCCUUAGUGCUGCAGCUAACGCAUUAAGCACUCCGCCUGGGGAGUACGGCCGCAAGGCUG
RNAcentral lists this ribosomal RNA (373 nucleotides) under uncultured organism. Its description in RNAcentral is "partial 16S ribosomal RNA". It matches the Rfam family "Bacterial small subunit ribosomal RNA", at positions 527 to 896 of the family's 1533-position model. The record is from RNAcentral.